UUAAUUCGAGGCAACGCGAAGAACCUUACCUGGUCUUGAAAUAUAUUUGACCGGCUGUGAAAGCAGCUUUCCCUUCGGGGCGGAUAUACAGGUGCUGCAUGGCUGUCGUCAGCUCGUGCCGUGAGGUGUUCGGUUAAGUCCGGCAACGAGCGCAACCCGUGUUACUAGUUGCCAGCAGGUAAAGCUGGGGACUCUAGUGAGACUGCCUGUGUUAAGCAGGAGGAAGGCGCGGAUGACGUCAAGUCAGUAUGGCCCUUACGACCAGGGCUGCACACGUGCUACAAUGGGCGGUACAAUGGGACGCGAAAUCGCGAGAUGGAGCAAAUCCACAAAACCGCUCUUAGUUCAGAUUGCAGUCUGCAACCCGACUACAUGAAGCUGGA
This 383-nucleotide ribosomal RNA is filed under the name uncultured bacterium. RNAcentral's name for it is "bacterial SSU rRNA". It matches the Rfam family "Bacterial small subunit ribosomal RNA", at positions 946 to 1330 of the family's 1533-position model. The record is from RNAcentral.